Molecule: ribosomal RNA, 515 nt
Filed under: Limosilactobacillus reuteri
Lineage: Bacteria; Bacillati; Bacillota; Bacilli; Lactobacillales; Lactobacillaceae
Description: bacterial SSU rRNA
Rfam family: Bacterial small subunit ribosomal RNA
Source: RNAcentral
AACGCCGGCGGUGUGCCUAAUACAUGCAAGUCGUACGCACUGGCCCAACUGAUUGAUGGUGCUUGCACCUGAUUGACGAUGGAUUACCAGUGAGUGGCGGACGGGUGAGUAACACGUAGGUAACCUGCCCCGGAGCGGGGGAUAACAUUUGGAAACAGAUGCUAAUACCGCAUAACAACAAAAGCCACAUGGCUUUUGUUUGAAAGAUGGCUUUGGCUAUCACUCUGGGAUGGACCUGCGGUGCAUUAGCUAGUUGGUAAGGUAACGGCUUACCAAGGCGAUGAUGCAUAGCCGAGUUGAGAGACUGAUCGGCCACAAUGGAACUGAGACACGGUCCAUACUCCUACGGGAGGCAGCAGUAGGGAAUCUUCCACAAUGGGCGCAAGCCUGAUGGAGCAACACCGCGUGAGUGAAGAAGGGUUUCGGCUCGUAAAGCUCUGUUGUUGGAGAAGAACGUGCGUGAGAGUAACUGUUCACGCAGUGACGGUAUCCAACCAGAAAGUCACGGCUAACUA